RNAcentral lists this ribosomal RNA (441 nucleotides) under uncultured bacterium. RNAcentral describes it as "bacterial SSU rRNA". It matches the Rfam family "Bacterial small subunit ribosomal RNA", at positions 958 to 1398 of the family's 1533-position model. The record is from RNAcentral.
AACGCGAAGAACCUUACCUGGACUUGAACCGCACAGGACCAUCUUCAGAAAUGAGGACUUCCCGCAAGGGACCUGUGUAGAGGUGCUGCAUGGCUGUCGUCAGCUCGUGUCGUGAGAUGUUGGGUUAAGUCCCGCAACGAGCGCAACCCUUGUCCUGUGUUGGCAUGCCGCAAGGCGCAACUCGCAGGAGACCGCCAGCGAUAAGUUGGAGGAAGGUGGGGAUGACGUCAAGUCAUCAUGGCCUUUAUGUCCAGGGCCACACACGUGCUACAAUGGGCGGUACAAAGCGCUGCCAACCCGCGAGGGGGAGCUAAUCGCCAAAAACCGUCCUCAGUUCGGAUUGCAGGCUGCAACUCGCCUGCAUGAAGCUGGAAUCGCUAGUAAUGCUAUAUCAGAACGAUAGCGUGAAUACGUUCCCGGGCCUUGUACACACCGAGUAUA